RNAcentral lists this microRNA (22 nucleotides) under Drosophila yakuba. RNAcentral describes it as "Dya-Mir-966_5p (mature (guide))". The record is from RNAcentral. Lineage: Eukaryota; Metazoa; Arthropoda; Insecta; Diptera; Drosophilidae.
UGUGGGAUGUGGGAUGUGGGCU